This 601-nucleotide ribosomal RNA is filed under the name uncultured Methylotenera sp. RNAcentral's name for it is "bacterial SSU rRNA". It matches the Rfam family "Bacterial small subunit ribosomal RNA", at positions 8 to 604 of the family's 1533-position model. Lineage: Bacteria; Pseudomonadati; Pseudomonadota; Betaproteobacteria; Nitrosomonadales; Methylophilaceae. The record is from RNAcentral.
AGAGUUUGAUCAUGGCUCAGAUUGAACGCUGGCGGAAUGCUUUACACAUGCAAGUCGAACGGCAGCACGGACUUCGGUCUGGUGGCGAGUGGCGAACGGGUGAGUAAUGUAUCGGAACGUAUCCAGUAAUGGGGGAUAACUAAUCGAAAGGUUGGCUAAUACCGCAUACGCCCUACGGGGGAAAGCAGGGGAUCUUCGGACCUUGCGUUAAUGGAGCGGCCGAUAUCUGAUUAGCUAGUUGGUGAGGUAAGAGCUCACCAAGGCGACGAUCAGUAGCUGGUCUGAGAGGACGACCAGCCACACUGGAACUGAGACACGGUCCAGACUCCUACGGGAGGCAGCAGUGGGGAAUUUUGGACAAUGGGCGCAAGCCUGAUCCAGCCAUUCCGCGUGAGUGAAGAAGGUCUUCGGGUUGUAAAGCUCUUUCGCAAGGGAAGAAACGAUGCAGACGAAUAAUCUGUGUUAAUGACGGUACCUUGAUAAGAAGCACCGGCUAACUACGUGCCAGCAGCCGCGGUAAUACGUAGGGUGCAAGCGUUAAUCGGAAUUACUGGGCGUAAAGCGUGCGCAGGCGGUUUUGUAAGUCAGAUGUGAAAUCCCC